GGUUCUUAAAGUCAUCAGAUUCUUGGAACGGAUUCUCAAGAACUCCAUGUCUUUUGACCCACUCUAGAGUGCCAACAGAAAUCCUUUUAUCAUCAAUAUACCCUACAGCACCAGAUCCAGGCUCCUCCAUGAACGUUCCAUCCAAAACCUUCAAUUUUGGAGAUUUUGCUGUCUGAGCAGCCUCUAUAAUUGCUUUUCCAAUUGGAUGAUUGGUAUUUGAUUCAACUCCAGCAGCAAACUUCAGAAUAUCAACUUCUGACCACUGACAAGGUGAAGUCGAAUCUUGUCUUGCAUCUACAUCUUCUUGA
This 308-nucleotide unclassified non-coding RNA is filed under the name Hevea brasiliensis (rubber tree). The record is from RNAcentral. Lineage: Eukaryota; Viridiplantae; Streptophyta; Magnoliopsida; Malpighiales; Euphorbiaceae.